AGAGUUUGAUCCUGGCUCAGAAUGAACGUUGGCGGCGUGGAUUAGGCAUGCAAGUCGAGCGAGAAUUCCCCGCAAGGGGAAGGACAGCGGCGAAAGGGAGAGGAACACGUAGUUACCUACCCUCAGGACUGGGAUAGCUCCGGGAAACCGGAGGUAAUACCAGAUAACAUCUUCGGAUCAAAGGUGUGAUUCCGCCUGUGGAGGGGACUGCGUCCUAUUAGCUUGUUGGUGAGGUAACGGCUCACCAAGGCAUUGAUGGGUACGGGGUGUGAGAGCAUGCCCCCGCUCACUGGGACUGAGACACUGCCCAGACACCUACGGGUGGCUGCAGUCGAGGAUCUUCGGCAAUGGGCGCAAGCCUGACCGAGCGACGCCGCGUGCGGGAUGAAGGCCUUCGGGUUGUAAACCGCCGUCGGGAUGGAGGAAAUUCCAGAGGGUAAUCUCUUUGGAG
RNAcentral lists this ribosomal RNA (451 nucleotides) under uncultured soil bacterium. RNAcentral's name for it is "bacterial SSU rRNA". It matches the Rfam family "Bacterial small subunit ribosomal RNA", at positions 8 to 469 of the family's 1533-position model. The record is from RNAcentral.